AAACUUUCAACAACGGAUCU
This 20-nucleotide ribosomal RNA is filed under the name Torulaspora delbrueckii. RNAcentral describes it as "partial 5.8S ribosomal RNA". The record is from RNAcentral. Lineage: Eukaryota; Fungi; Ascomycota; Saccharomycetes; Saccharomycetales; Saccharomycetaceae.